RNAcentral lists this ribosomal RNA (406 nucleotides) under uncultured Flavobacterium sp. RNAcentral describes it as "bacterial SSU rRNA". It matches the Rfam family "Bacterial small subunit ribosomal RNA", at positions 1 to 407 of the family's 1533-position model. The record is from RNAcentral. Lineage: Bacteria; Pseudomonadati; Bacteroidota; Flavobacteriia; Flavobacteriales; Flavobacteriaceae.
UCGAGAGUUUGAUCCUGGCUCAGGAUGAACGCUAGCGGCAGGCUUAACACAUGCAAGUCGAGGGGUAUAGUUCUUCGGAGCUAGAGACCGGCGCACGGGUGCGUAACGCGUAUGCAAUCUACCUUUUACAGAGGGAUAGCCCAGAGAAAUUUGGAUUAAUACCUCAUAGUAUGUGAGAAUCGCAUGGUUUUUCACAUUAAAGUUCCAACGGUAAAAGAUGAGCAUGCGUCCCAUUAGCUAGUUGGUAAGGUAACGGCUUACCAAGGCUACGAUCCUUAGGGGGCUCUGAGAGGAGUACUCCCCCACACUGGCACUGAGAUACGGGCCAGACGUCCUACGGGGAGGCAGCAGUAGGGAAUAUUGGGCAAUGGAGGCAACUCUGACCCCAGCCCAUGCCGCGUGCAGG